This 116-nucleotide ribosomal RNA is filed under the name Escherichia coli. The record is from RNAcentral. Lineage: Bacteria; Pseudomonadati; Pseudomonadota; Gammaproteobacteria; Enterobacterales; Enterobacteriaceae. RNAcentral also lists the same sequence under 55 other names.
CCUGGCGGCCUUAGCGCGGUGGUCCCACCUGACCCCAUGCCGAACUCAGAAGUGAAACGCCGUAGCGCCGAUGGUAGUGUGGGGUUUCCCCAUGCGAGAGUAGGGAACUGCCAGGC